RNAcentral lists this ribosomal RNA (382 nucleotides) under uncultured bacterium. Its description in RNAcentral is "bacterial SSU rRNA". It matches the Rfam family "Bacterial small subunit ribosomal RNA", at positions 917 to 1322 of the family's 1533-position model. The record is from RNAcentral.
GGGCCCGCACAAGCGGUGGAGCAUGUGGUUUAAUUCGAUGCAACGCGAAGAACCUUACCAGGGCUUGACAUACUACGAAUUUUCUUGAAAGAGAAAAGUGCCUUCGGGAAUGUAGAUACAGGUGGUGCAUGGCUGUCGUCAGCUCGUGUCGUGAGAUGUUGGGUUAAGUCCCGCAACGAGCGCAACCCUCACUUUUAGUUGCCAUCAUUUAGUUGGGCACUCUGAAAGAACUGCCAGUGAUAAGCUGGAGGAAGGUGGGGAUGACGUCAAGUCCUCAUGGCCCUUACGUGUUGGGCUACACACGUGCUACAAUGGUAGUGACAAUGGGUUAAUCCCAAAAAGCUAUCUCAGUUCGGAUUGUCGUCUGCAACUCGACGGCAUG